Molecule: ribosomal RNA, 510 nt
Filed under: uncultured bacterium
Lineage: Bacteria
Description: partial 16S ribosomal RNA
Rfam family: Bacterial small subunit ribosomal RNA
Source: RNAcentral
GACGAACGCUGGCGGCGUGCUUAACACAUGCAAGUCGAACGAAGAGCGAUGGAAGCUUGCUUUUAUCAAUCUUAGUGGCGAACGGGUGAGUAACGCGUAAUCAACCUGCCCUUCAGAGGGAGACAACAGUUGGAAACGACUGCUAAUACCGCAUACGAUCUAAUCUCGGCAUCGAGGAUAGAUGAAAGGUGGCCUCUACAUGUAAGCUAUCACUGAAGGAGGGGAUUGCGUCUGAUUAGCUAGUUGGAGGGGUAACGGCCCACCAAGGCGAUGAUCAGUAGCCGGUCUGAGAGGAUGAACGGCCACAUUGGGACUGAGACACGGCCCAGACUCCUACGGGAGGCAGCAGUGGGGAAUCUUCCGCAAUGGACGAAAGUCUGACGGAGCAACGCCGCGUGAGCGAUGACGGCCUUCGGGUUGUAAAGCUCUGUUAAUCGGGACGAAAGGCCUUCUUGCGAAUAGUGAGAAGGAUUGACGGUACCGGAAUAGAAAGCCACGGCUAACUACGUG